AUGGCCAUUCCGCUUGCGCUUCUUCUAUCUCUGCUCUUUGGCAUCCUGCUUGCACCGGAAUGUGUAGCCACACCGGACAUGGCUCCUACCACUCUGCUGCAGGUGAAGUCCGAUCUCAUCGAUCCUCAAGGCAUCCUCUCCGACUGGUCGCCGAAGGCUGAUGUCUGCUCCUGGCACGGUGUUUCAUGCCUGCUGGGAGAGGGCAUUGUGACAGGCCUCAACUUGUCGGGAUACGGCCUAUCCGGCACGAUAUCGCCGGCGAUAUCUGGCCUGAUAUCUGUGGAGUUCAUUGACCUGUCCUCCAACUCCCUCACCGGGCCGAUCCCGGCAGAGCUCGGCAUGCUGCAGAACCUGAAGACGCUGCUCCUCUACUCCAACGCCCUCGUCGGCACCAUCCCUCCGGAGCUGGGCCUCCUUGGGAACCUAAAAGUUCUCAGGAUUGGCGACAACAGGCUGCACAGCGAGAUACCACCGCAGCUCGGCAACUGCACGGAGCUCGAGACCAUGGGGUUGGCCUAUUGCCAGCUGAGUGGUGCCAUUCCUCACCAGAUUGGCAACCUGAAGAACCUGCAGCAGCUGGUCUUGGACAACAACACUCUCACCGGAAGCAUCCCGGAGCAGCUUGGUGGUUGCGCAAAUCUGCGUAGUCUGUCAGUGUCUGAUAAUAGGCUGGGUGGCAUCAUUCCCUCGUUCAUUGGCAGCCUGAGUGUUCUCCAGUCUCUCAACCUUGCAAACAAUCAGUUUUCCGGUGCGAUUCCGGCGGAUAUUGGGAAGCUAUCCAGCCUGACAUACCUCAACCUGCUCGGCAACAGCCUGACAGGCGCCAUCCCGGAAGAGCUGAACCAGCUGAGCCAGCUGCAGGUUCUUGACUUGUCCAAGAACAACAUCUCUGGAGUGAUCAGCAUCUCCACAUCACAGCUGAAGAACCUGAAGUACCUUGUGCUCUCUGACAAUGUUCUUGAUGGUACCAUACCUGAAGGCCUCUGCCCUGGCAACUCGAGCUUGGAGAGCCUGUUCCUUGCCGGGAACAACCUCAAAGGAGGCAUCGAGGGGCUGCUCAACUGCAUUUCACUGCGAUCCAUCGACGCGUCGAACAACAGCUUCACCGGAAAGAUUCCGUCGGAGAUCGACCGGCUGUCGAACCUUGUCAACCUUGUGCUGCACAACAACAGCCUUACCGGCGUUCUGCCACCUGAGAUAGGUAACUUGAGCAACCUGGAGAUGCUGUCCCUGUACCACAAUGGCCUCACCGGUGUGCUCCCGCCGGAGAUCGGCCGGCUGCAGAGGCUGAAGGUCUUGUUCCUGUACGAGAAUCAGAUGUCUGGGACCAUACCUGAUGAGAUCACCAACUGCACGAGCUUGGAAGAGGUGGACUUCUUCGGCAACCAUUUCCAUGGGACUAUCCCUGAGAAGAUCGGGAACCUCAAGAGCCUAACGGUGCUUCAGCUCCGGCAGAAUGACCUGUCCGGCUCAAUCCCAGCGAGUCUCAGGGAAUGCAGGCGGCUGCAGGCAUUGGCAUUGGCGGACAACCGGCUCUCCGGCGCACUGCCGGACACGUUCAGGCUUCUCACCGAGCUCAGCAUCAUCACCUUGUACAAUAACUCCCUUGAGGGGUCGCUGCCCGAAGCACUGUUCGAGCUGAAGAACCUGACGGUGAUCAACAUCUCGCACAACAGGUUCAGCGGCAGCGUGGUGCCUCUCCUUGGCUCGAGCUCCCUCUCCGUGCUGGUGCUGACCGACAACAACUUCUCCGGUGUCAUUCCGACAGCAGUGACACGGUCGAGGAACAUGGUCAGGCUUCAGCUGGCCGGCAACCAUCUCACCGGUGCAAUCCCGGCCGAGUUGGGCGACCUGACGCAGCUCAAGAUGCUUGACCUCUCAUCCAACAACCUCUCCGGCGAUAUCCCAUCGCAGCUCUCCAACUGCUUGCAGCUCACCCAUCUGAACCUUGAGCGUAACAGUCUGACAGGCGCCGUGCCUUCCUGGCUCGGCGGCCUGCGGUUCCUUGGAGAGCUCGACCUCUCGUCGAAUGCAUUGACCGGCGUUAUACCGGUGGAGCUCGGCAACUGUUCGAGCCUUCUCAAGCUGUCUCUCAGCGGCAACCGUCUCUCCGGCAGCAUUCCGCAGGAGAUAGGAAGGCUCACGUCCCUGAACGUUCUAAACCUGCAGAAGAACAGUCUCACCGGCGUCAUACCGCCCACACUCCGGAGGUGCAACAAGCUCUAUGAGCUGCGCCUGUCGGAGAACUCGCUGGAGGGGCCGAUCCCCAUGGAGCUCGGGCAGCUGUCAGAGCUGCAGGUGAUGCUGGACCUAAGCCAGAACAGGCUGACCGGACAGAUUCCGACGUCCCUCGGCAACCUCGUGAAGCUGGAGCGGCUGAACCUGUCCUCCAACCAGCUCCACGGGCAGAUACCAGCCUCGCUGCUGCAGCUCACCAGCCUGAACCGCCUCAACCUGUCGGACAAUCUCCUCUCCGGCACGAUACCCGCCGUGUUAUCGAGCUUCCCGGCCGCGUCCUACGCCGGCAACAACGAGCUCUGUGGCGCGCCGCUACCGACGUGCGGGGCGAACGGGAGGCGCCUGGCGAGCGCCACGGUGUCCGGCAUCGUGGCGGCCAUCGCCAUCGUCUCGGCCACUGUGUGCAUGGCUCUGCUGUACAUAAUGCUCAGGAUGUGGAGCAAUUGGAGGGAGGUGUCGGUGUCGAGCUCGGACGGUGAGGAGCCGGAGGCGCAUGGCAAAGGGGGCAAGUGCUGCGCCGGGGACGGGAAGUACUGGAAGGUCGGUUCGGGCUUGGUCGUCGCGCCGUCGACGGAGGAGAAGUACAGCUCGGCGUCGGAGAGCAGCGUUCUCCAUGGGAAGCUCACGGAGGCGAGCGCCAUCAACUCCAAGGGCUAG
This 2895-nucleotide ribosomal RNA is filed under the name Triticum aestivum (bread wheat). Its description in RNAcentral is "partial small subunit ribosomal RNA". Lineage: Eukaryota; Viridiplantae; Streptophyta; Magnoliopsida; Poales; Poaceae. The record is from RNAcentral.